RNAcentral lists this ribosomal RNA (734 nucleotides) under uncultured Cellulosimicrobium sp. RNAcentral's name for it is "bacterial SSU rRNA". It matches the Rfam family "Bacterial small subunit ribosomal RNA", at positions 28 to 776 of the family's 1533-position model. Lineage: Bacteria; Bacillati; Actinomycetota; Actinomycetes; Micrococcales; Promicromonosporaceae. The record is from RNAcentral.
GACGAACGCUGGCGGCGUGCUUAACACAUGCAAGUCGAACGAUGAUGCCCAGCUUGCUGGGCGGAUUAGUGGCGAACGGGUGAGUAACACGUGAGUAACCUGCCCUUGACUUCGGGAUAACUCCGGGAAACCGGGGCUAAUACCGGAUAUGAGCCGUCCUCGCAUGGGGGUGGUUGGAAAGUUUUUCGGUCAGGGAUGGGCUCGCGGCCUAUCAGCUUGUUGGUGGGGUGAUGGCCUACCAAGGCGACGACGGGUAGCCGGCCUGAGAGGGCGACCGGCCACACUGGGACUGAGACACGGCCCAGACUCCUACGGGAGGCAGCAGUGGGGAAUAUUGCACAAUGGGCGAAAGCCUGAUGCAGCGACGCCGCGUGAGGGAUGGAGGCCUUCGGGUUGUAAACCUCUUUCAGCAGGGAAGAAGCGCAAGUGACGGUACCUGCAGAAGAAGCGCCGGCUAACUACGUGCCAGCAGCCGCGGUAAUACGUAGGGCGCAAGCGUUGUCCGGAAUUAUUGGGCGUAAAGAGCUCGUAGGCGGUUUGUCGCGUCUGGUGUGAAAACUCGAGGCUCAACCUCGAGCUUGCAUCGGGUACGGGCGGACUAGAGUGCGGUAGGGGAGACUGGAAUUCCUGGUGUAGCGGUGGAAUGCGCAGAUAUCAGGAGGAACACCGAUGGCGAAGGCAGGUCUCUGGGCCGCAACUGACGCUGAGGAGCGAAAGCAUGGGGAGCGAACAGG